GUGGGGAAUAUUGGACAAUGGGCGAAAGCCUGAUCCAGCCAUGCCGCGUGUGUGAAGAAGGUCUUCGGAUUGUAAAGCACUUUAAGUUGGGAGGAAGGGCAGUAAGUUAAUACCUUGCUGUUUUGACGUUACCGACAGAAUAAGCACCGGCUAACUUCGUGCCAGCAGCCGCGGUAAUACGAAGGGUGCAAGCGUUAAUUGGAAUUACUGGGCGUAAAGCGCGCGUAGGUGGUUUUGUAAGUUGGAGGUGAAAUCCCCGGGCUCAACCUGGGAACUGCCUCCAAAACUGCAUGACUAGAGUACGGUAGAGGGUAGUGGAAUUUCCUGUGUAGCGGUGAAAUGCGUAGAUAUAGGAAGGAACACCAGUGGCGAAGGCGACUACCUGGACUGAUACUGACACUGAGGUGCGAAAGCGUGGGGAGCAAACAGGAUUAGAAACCCCGGUAGUCC
RNAcentral lists this ribosomal RNA (450 nucleotides) under uncultured bacterium. RNAcentral describes it as "bacterial SSU rRNA". It matches the Rfam family "Bacterial small subunit ribosomal RNA", at positions 354 to 796 of the family's 1533-position model. The record is from RNAcentral.